CCGCCGCCGCCGCCGCCCGCCGGCCUCCUCGCUACCCCCCACCCCAGCUCUUCCCCGAGAUAGGCUGUCCAGGAAAGCCGAACGCUCCUGGCCCGCAUUCUCCCAGCCUGCUAGCUCCGGAGGCCGCCUCCUCACCCUCCUCUUGGGGGGUGAAGACGUCUGUGCACGGAACGCAGCAAAUGGAUGGUCCCUAAGAACCUGACAUCGCCGCUGGAAAACUCAGAAUGAGAUUACGGAGAGGAAGUUUGCAUCUCAUGUGGUCUGAGAAAUUGACCAAAAUGACCCUGUGAAGGCAACAGGAGACUGUAAAAAGUGCUUUAAAACAAGAACUUUAUAUUAACUCCCAGGUAAUCAUCCAUAUGUGUACAUGUAUAUAUAAUGAGCAUCUUUCCAUGUUGUGAAAUGUACUUCUGCAAUAUCAUUUUCAAUGGGUACAUAUUAUUCUAUCAUAAGGAUAAAUGAAAUUUUACCCAAUUAAUCCCCAAUUGUAGGACAUUUAGGUUAUUUCCAUUUUUUCAUAAUGCAAGCAACACUGCGUAGCUAAAUCUUUGCACACAUCAAUAAUUUUUUGCUUAGGAGAAAUUCCCCCGUGUUAGGAUUUACCAAUGAAAUUGUCAUUUACAUCUCUGAAGGGUUCUUUGAUUUUUUUUUUUAACUUUUAAUUUUAGGGAUUCUAUUGUAUCUUGAAGCCUCUAAGGAUUGGGAGUGCCCUAUUCCAAAUAGGUGAAAUAAAGCUACACCUGUUGAAGUACAA
Eptesicus fuscus (big brown bat) is the source of this 754-nucleotide long non-coding RNA. RefSeq lists it as uncharacterized. The record is from RefSeq and is a predicted model, not a curated record. NCBI's taxonomy places the organism in Eukaryota, Metazoa, Chordata, Mammalia, Chiroptera, Vespertilionidae. The transcript has 2 exons.